GGGUUUUGAACAGAUUGAGACGACGACACCUUUUACUGAUCCAAAACGUAGUGAGAUUUCGCCGUUCCCACUUCGCAGAGCGGAUUUCUGAACCAAAUCUCCCAGAGAAUUUGAUAAUAAGUGACCAAAACAUCUAAUUAUUCUUAAAAAGUGUUACGCCGCCAAUAAACUCUUACUGUUUUUCCUUUGCAACUGUUUAGUGCGUCUUCUGAUUACUUCGGAGUACGAUACUCUCUCAUCGGAAGCAGAGUCUAAGUUCUGAGUCGAUUUUCAGCCUAUUGAAACUGCUCAUACCUUUUCCAAAUUCCGUAUGAACAAACCUAAGAACUGAAUGUUAUAUGUUUGUAAAACAACAGACUGGGAGUCACAAUAUCGGUUCAUAAACUGGUAUUUAAGAAGGAAAUAGACCCAAGAAAAAGACAACUAGAAACAUUAGAAAUCUUCAGAAGAAAAUCAGGGAAAUGCUGUCAGCGAGGACUAAACAUCUAUAAGUUAUAAUUGAUUCUUGGAGUUCCUAAAAAAGAAGAAACAGCAAGCACAUUUUCAUCUUAGUUUUCAAAAAAACUUCAGCCCAUUUUCGAACAGUUGGAAGAAUGUUUUCAUUGUUUUAUGUCAAAUUGUUCUUUUGUUUCGUUUUCGUAAAAUAUAAGUGCCACGAAUAUUCAAACGGAGCUGAAAGGCCGAUAAUUUAUCGUAAUAGCGCUUUAGAUGAAACUGUAAACGAAAAACAAUGUUUGGCAUCAUAAUUACAGUUGACGUUAAAAAAGACUAGACUCUCAUCUAUAUUAUUCGAAUAUAAAUAGACUUGCACUUAGCUAAAAGGAGAUUUGUUUGUAAAAUAAUAUAAAAAGAGUGUUCGUUCUUGAAAAAGGACCAUUGUCGAUUGUGCUACUUACUUUCUAUUACAAGCUCUCAAAUCCUUUAAAAAUGAUUCGAAACCAAAAUUGUGUGGAGAGAAUUGUAAUCCAAGCUAAAGUCGAAUCUAAGCGCCCACGCGGUCAUUCCCCAUUGCGUUGGACGGAUCUUGUUAAGAGCGGUACGCAAAGUAGCGUACCGGAAUGUCCCCACACCGCUAGGAACCGCAUUAGAUGGAGAAACAUCGCAAGAGCUGCAAUAAUGGAACAAAGCAAUGAGACCCAAGAACCAUCAUCUUAAUACUACAUGGUUAUUGCGCAUCUUUCUUAUCUGUUUCUGUAUUUAUCAAUUGUCUAUGCCUUACGGCAGACGAUAACGUUAAUCGAAAUGUAAUCAGCACUGUAGAUUUUUUUUUCCUUUUUUCCUAUCUAUGCUGAUAGUCUCAGAGGCUAUUUCAGCUUUACCCUAAGGUGCAGGCGAGCUCACGGGGCUCAAGUUAGAAAUGUUGCUAACACUGGCCCUAGACAGAGCAGUGCUUCGCGGAAUCUACCACCGGAUCGGAAACGCGACCCACUGAGAAGAUCCGGUGAGAAACUCAGUGGGCUGUGUCUAUCUAUGGGUUAAUUUACUCGACGAGCCCUUCGUCGCAAACAACGGGUUCGGCGAGGACGGUGACCGGUGCUUGAGGUACCUAAAAGCACCGUAAAUGCUUCGGGACGAUCCAUAAUGACGUGUUAAGGGCGAUAGCACUGUAGUAAUAAAAUAUUUACCAUAUUAUAGUAUAGGAGGUAUAAGAGAACAGUUUGUGAAGCCGAACGGUCACAGUGAUUAGUAUUAUGACGGAUAACAUUGAUGGAAAAUCGUUUUUAUUUGCCAAGUCAAGUAUACCUAAAUACUUAGUUUUCUAAUUUUAGCAUUUCGUGACACGACGCGCACUCAAUAGUGAAGGUGAUUUGAUGACGUCACCUUGGAACGUGUGUAGGAACGUGAACCGCGCGGACGCUGUUUGUUACAUUGCGUGCAAAAAGCAUUAGUAUUAACUUUAUUCAUUUGCCUCGUUUUCAGGAACGAUUCUCGAUAAAAUGUAUCAAAGCAACACAAAUUCUGUAUUAGUUUUUGUUUCGUAUCCAUUUUCUCAGAUAGUAGGAAAUAGCGGAGGAACUGCAAACGCCUGUCAUCGACGCGCUCCACCAAGCUACAGAACGGGAUCGAUGGAGACUGCUGGUUGACGGAAUCGGACGGAGUCACGAUCCUCAGCAAUGAGGGACCGAUUGAAGAGAGAGAGAGAGAGAAAGAUAUGUCAUAAAAGGAAAAAUAUGAAUACAAUUACGUAUUAUUUUUUUAUCAAUUAAUAUGCUGUAACAUCUUUUCAUUUUAUCAACUUUCGUUCAUUCAUUUCGACGUCUAUAUUAUUAAUAACUGAUAGGAUCAUGUAUCGGAAACAUGGGAGGGAGUAAAUGUGAUACAUAAAUAAAACGUAGGCAAGUUUUAAAUGAUUUUGAAAUUUUAAUAUAAUACAUUACUGUUAUAUCUACUCUAUUAACAAAAUAUGUAAUGUACUUGGUGUUUAGAUGUAGUUAAGUCCAAAUUAACAAGUAUUACUUAGGUGUUUUAGAUGUUUGACUUCGAGCAUACUCUAAUUUUUUGGAUUAGCUUAAUCAUUUCUUUUAGGUUUAAAGAUGAAUUUAACAAUGAAACCUUAUAGAGACGGUGGUUAAUUUUCGAUUUAUUACAACAAAAAUCUCAUUUUUCACAUUUUCAAUAGAACAGUUAUAUGUGUGCUAUUAAAUUAAUAUUACUUAUUGGCAAAGUAAAGUAGAAUUGCAGCACAUUUAAAUUAAGAAACAUAUUAUCAAUCAAUCAAUCAAACAAAACAAUUUUUAUUAGUUCUGAUUAUUUUACUAAUAAAUACCUAGUAACAUGUGAGUUUACUUUGAAAGUAGUUUAUAAACUAUAUAAUAAAUGUUAGAGAAAUAAAAAGAUAGAUGUUUAUUCUGAAAAAAAAAAAAAUAUCAUUAUGAAUUUUAAGACUAGCUGUUUAGAAUGUAUACGAUUAACAAAUAUGUAAUUUAUUUAAUAUACGUGUAAUAAAACAAUGAACCACAAUA
This is a long non-coding RNA of Bombyx mori (domestic silkworm), 2963 nucleotides long. RefSeq lists it as uncharacterized. The transcript has 3 exons. NCBI's taxonomy places the organism in Eukaryota, Metazoa, Arthropoda, Insecta, Lepidoptera, Bombycidae. The record is from RefSeq and is a predicted model, not a curated record.